GGGGUGUUGGAGAGAAAUCAUGCCUGGAGAAACAUGUGCACAUACGCACACGACUGAAGUUAAUAAAAGUGUCAGCGAUUCACGUGUGAGGGGAUGAGAGCAGCCUGGCUGGAGCAAUCUGCUGCAAAGAGCAGUCUAAGCUGUCAUAGCCAUCGUGGAGGGCACUUUCAGGCCUGGCCUGGUCUGUCAGAGAGCUCUGAAGUUAUUUUAAAGAAUAAAAAGAAUAUUUUAAAGACUGGAAUUUUAAAGAUAAAGACAUCUUCAAGGCAGAAGCAGGAUGUUCAUUUACCUGGAGACCCACUAUCUAAGAAACUUCUGAUGGAAGUGCUAUAUUUAGCAGCCAUUCAGCUGGCAAAGUGCUCUGUUAUUCAUUAUAAUAUCAAGUUUUCACCAAAAAAAAAGCUCAUUUUUAGAGACUUUAAUGUAGGGGCUUUUGUUCCCUCUCAGACAAUUCUUGCUGUGUUUUUCUUUCACUGCUUGGUCUUAACAUCUUGGUGUGGAAAUGAACUCACUAGGAGACCUGUGUAGAACAUAUUUUGGGGGAAAGAGGUUCCCCAAGCUCUGUUCCAGCAGUUCUGGAGGCACAAGCAGGUGUCAAACUGUUCUUGCUGCAUAGGUUCCUCUGGAUCCUCACAAAACCUUGUAAAUUAUUUUGGAGAUCCAUUCAUCAAGUCCAAUGUAAUAUCAAAAUUAGUGCUCCUACCUGAGCCUAAGGAAAUGUCUUCUUUUACCAUUCACGCAUUAUAAAAUGAAGUGCAACAGAAACUGAGUGGGGAAAAUGGUUAUAUAUCAAAUAUUCAUUCUGAACAUUUUGAGGUAAAAGAAAUAAAAUACAUUACUUUAACCACAUUUGAAGCCAUACUUAGUUGAGAAAAAUUUUUCUUCUAUUUAAACAGUAAUGUGAUAGCCCAGUGUCAUCCACUUGAUUAUAAUCAUUACCUUACACAUAUCC
Molecule: long non-coding RNA, 952 nt
Organism: Cyanistes caeruleus (blue tit)
Lineage: Eukaryota; Metazoa; Chordata; Aves; Passeriformes; Paridae
Source: RefSeq, a predicted model, not a curated record